UGCAAGUCGAGCGGUAACAGGUGUAGCAAUACAUGCUGACGAGCGGCGAACGGGUGAGCAAUGCUUCGGAAUCUGCCCAAUGGUGUGGAAUAACCAGCCGAAAGGUUGGCUAAUACCGCAUAAGCCCUACGGGGGAAAGCAGGGGAUCGCAAGACCUUGCGCCGAUGGAUGAGCCGAAGUCGGAUUAGCUAGUUGGUAGGGUAACGGCCUACCAAGGCGACGAUCCGUAGCUGGUCUGAGAGGACGACCAGCCACACUGGGACUGAGACACGGCCCAGACUCCUACGGGAGGCAGCAGUGGGGAAUAUUGGACAAUGGGGGCAACCCUGAUCCAGCGACGCCGCGUGUGUGAAGAAGGCCUGCGGGUUGUAAAGCACUUUUAGUGGGGAUGAAAAGCUCAGGGAUAACACCUCUGGGUCUUGACCUAACCCACAGAAAAAGCACCGGCUAACUCUGUGCCAGCAGCCGCGGUAAUACAGAGGGUGCAAGCGUUAAUCGGAAUUACUGGGCGUAAAGCGUGCGUAGACGGUAGCGUAAGUCGGGUGUGAAAG
RNAcentral lists this ribosomal RNA (551 nucleotides) under uncultured bacterium. RNAcentral describes it as "bacterial SSU rRNA". It matches the Rfam family "Bacterial small subunit ribosomal RNA", at positions 56 to 600 of the family's 1533-position model. The record is from RNAcentral.